RNAcentral lists this long non-coding RNA (2802 nucleotides) under Sus scrofa (pig). RNAcentral's name for it is "lncRNA (ENSSSCG00055024826.1)". The stretch from base 1999 to 2088 matches the Rfam family "Small nucleolar SNORD12/SNORD106". The record is from RNAcentral. Lineage: Eukaryota; Metazoa; Chordata; Mammalia; Artiodactyla; Suidae.
CUUUCGCUUCUGCGGCGCUCGUCGGAACCUUUGUCUCUCUGUUCCUCUUCUGAUGGCGUUCUACCCUGGGAACGUGGGUGUGCUACUCCAUGUGGUUUGCAUGAUCAGAGACUGCAGGAUGGAUCUCGGAGAAGACGACUCCUGCUGGGCCUCUAAGGCAACCAUGUAUAGACAUCCACAAUCUUCAGUCUCCUGAUCUCUGGGGUAAGCGUUUGUAUUUUGGCCCGUUGUAGGAAAUGCGUGUUUUAAAGAACUUUAGUUUGAUAGAUGACCUUGGAGAGAAAAAGGGAAGUUAAGGACAGCAAAUAAGCACAAAGGUGGAGGUUACCUACGUGGGGUCCAGAAGGAUGUGGUUUUGUCCUAUUGGCCUUACCCAGUUACCUAUGUCAUCAGUCCUCGCCAUGGUUUUUUUGCCCUUUUCUUCCUGCAAGAUUAAGUCACCAUUCCUCACAUCCCUUUGCUAUCAGUUGAGGAGUGGGUUAAAGAUUCAUGUCCAGCUAGGCGUAGGUAUACUCCCUAUAGUAGACAAGGCCUUUGGGGAUGUUAAUCUCUGGAGCCCUUUAGCCAAAUAUUAAUCAGUAGCCACGUCAAAGAAUGCGUUGAAGCCCAUGUUCUGCACUGACUGAGUUACUAUUUUGCUUCACUAGGGCAUACGGAAUUCUUUGGGUCAGGGAUCAGAUCUGAGCUGAAGCUGCAACCUACCCCACACAACACUGGAUUCUUUAACCCACUGCCAGGCUGGGGGGUCUAACGUAUGUCCUGGUGCUGUAGAGAGGCCCCAGAUGUACUGUGCCACGGAAUUUCCAAGUGGUUAAUGUGAUGACUUGUCUUUUUUUUUUUUUUUUUUUUUUUUUUUUCCNCCAUUUCUUGGGCCGCUCCCAUGGCAUGUGGAGGUUCCCAGGCUAGGGGUCGAAUCAAAGCUGUAGCUGCCAGCCUGCCCCAGAGUCACGGCAACGCCGGAUUGUUAACCCACUGAACAAGGGCAGGGAUCGAACCCGCAACCUCAUGGUUCCUAGUCGGAUUCGAAAACCACUGCCCCACGACGGGAAGUCCUGUGACGGCUUUUUUUUUUUUUUUUUUUUUUUUUUUUUUUUNCUAGGGGUCCAAUCGGAGCUGUAGCCGCCUGCCCACACCAGAGCCACAGCCACGCGGGAUCUGAGCCAUGUCUGCGACCUGCACCACAGCUCACGGCAACGCCGGAUCCUUAACCCACUGAGUGAGGCCAGGGCUCGAACCCACAACCUCAUGGUUCCUAGUCGGAUUCGUUAACCACUGAGCCAUGACGGGAACUCCUGUGAUGGCAUUUUUUUUUAAAGGAAAGCCAAAUAAAUGUACUUUGUUGGCCUAGUUACUUUUAUUACCCAGAAUCUUUUACCCACGCUUGUGGCAUGUGGAAGUUCCUGGGCCAUGGAUUGAACCUAGUUUUCGGUUUUGGUUUCUUUUUUUUUGGUUUGGUUUGGUUUGGUUUUGCUUUUUCGGGCUGCACCCAUGGCAUAUGGAGGUUCCCAUGCUAGGGGUCUAAUCAGAGCUACAGCUGCCGGCCACAGCCACAGCAACACAGGAUCCUUAACCCACCCACUACGUGAGGCCAGAGACCGAACCUGCAACCUCAUGGUUCCUAGUUGGAUUCUUUUCCGCUGUGCCACAAAGGGAACUCCGAAUACAUUUUCUAUUGAGUCCUGAAAUGCCACCUUAAGGGUGGGAUUUCUUGGACCCUGUUUUCCUUGAACUCUGAUCCCGAGUUCCUUGCAUUGAAUCAUCCUGACGCAAAACCCUGCAAUGACAUCUCACCUCAGCACAAGCCAGCCAUUUGCCCACAGCUUUGCCAAGCACACUGACCUCUCAGAUGUAAACUCAAAAGGUAGGAGUGUUUGUCUUAGCUAUUACUGCCAGCAGCAGCACACUAGAAGUGCUUUGAAUACUACAUGAAAUUGCAGGUAGAGAAUCAGACCAAGUCUAAUUCCUGGUUCAGGGUUCUUCAGAGGCCAAGAGCUUCUUACUGGCAUAUAUGAUGACUGAACUUUUUUCCCCAACAGAUCGACCAUGUUGAUCAAACUCUCUAAGCCAGUUUCUGUCUGAUAUGCCAGUUUGAGCAGCUCUUGUCCUCCACUCCCUUGGGUAUCUAGCUGAUGGAGCUCAUGUUUCAUUGUUUUCAUCUUAGGUUUACUAGUGGCAGAAAGCAGACUUUGAAUGGACUAUCAUUUGGAAAGAAUGGGUAAGUCAUGUCCAUUAACUGUUCCUUUUUAAAAGGGGUUAUCCCCCUCGCGUUCUAAUUACUGUGACCCAAAUAUAUGGCCAUUGCAGCUGAUGACUUUUCUCCCAGUCAGAUCGACCCUGUUGAUCUCACUGAAUUAGCCAGUUUUGUUGAUGGCAUUGGUCACAAAGACAACCUCAGUUUUCUGCUUACCAUCAACAGAUUUUGCUAUGUGGGAAUUGGGCUUGCUUCAAGGGUUUUUCCCCCCCUUAACCAAUCAAGUUAUUGGCUUCAUUUGUUGACUUUCUGCAGGACUAGAGCACCCUGUGUUCCUCAAGGCAAUGAGGAAGUGGAUUCCAGCCUGAUUUUGCCGUCAGCUUGGUUCAGUCUAUCCUGUAACAGGGCAUUUAUCAGCUAUGGACUUGGAAUACAAGGCCUCAAAUGACUGAUCCUGUGCUCUCCAGAGAAAGCAUGACUUGGUUGAUCAGUCUCACAAGAUGAUUCUGCAACCCAGGUAUCCAGAGUUGGAAAAGCCUCUGCCUGCUCUGAAGAAUCAGUUACUGAUUUUUAGCCUCCCUAUGUGGAAAAUAAAGCCCUUUAAAUCAAAA